RNAcentral lists this transfer RNA (27 nucleotides) under Scarelus umbrosus. RNAcentral describes it as "partial tRNA-Ser". Lineage: Eukaryota; Metazoa; Arthropoda; Insecta; Coleoptera; Lycidae. The record is from RNAcentral.
CCAAUUAAAGAAAUUUUUAAAGAAAAG